UGGCGGACGGGUGAGUAACACGUAAGUAAUCUACCUUCGAGUGGGGAAUAACGUCCGGAAACGGACGCUAAUACCGCAUAAUGCAGCGGCAUCGCAAGAUGACAGUUGUUAAAGAUUUAUCGCUUGAAGAGGAGCUUGCGGCAGAUUAGCUAGUUGGUAAGGUAAUGGCUUACCAAGGCUACGAUCUGUAACCGGUCUAAGAGGACGGUCGGUCACACUGACACUGAAUAACGGGUCAGACUCCUACGGGAGGCAGCAGUCGGGAAUUUUGGGCAAUGGGCGAAAGCCUGACCCAGCAACGCCGCGUGAAGGAUGAAGUAUUUCGGUAUGUAAACUUCGAAAGAAUGGGAAGAAUCAAUGACGGUACCAUUUAUAAGGUCCGGCUAACUACGUGCCAGCAGCCGCGGUAAU
This 411-nucleotide ribosomal RNA is filed under the name uncultured bacterium. RNAcentral describes it as "bacterial SSU rRNA". It matches the Rfam family "Bacterial small subunit ribosomal RNA", at positions 96 to 524 of the family's 1533-position model. The record is from RNAcentral.